GAAAGAGAGAAAAGAAGAGAGAGAGAGAGAGAGAAAGAAAAAGAAGAAGAAGGAGGAGGAAGAAGAAGAGGAAGGGGGUUUGGUGGGUGCACGCUGUAUAUGCCUCGCCAAGUUGACUUGACUAUGUAACGUAAUACCCGAUCAAGGUUACCUCGAGUCUAUCAAGAAAUGCUGCAGAGAGAGCAUAAUUGAUGAACUUGAAGACCCAUUUUGUACUCAUAUGCUUGGAUGGAUAGACAGAGCGGAGAAAGGCCGAAAUACAGGUAAAGCCCACAAACUUUUAUCAGCAUGAAAAGUUCAGUUUUCUCUUGGUUUUCUUGCUUAUUCCUACAGAACUAUGUGUCAAGGUUAUCGUGUUGGACCUAUGGAUCACUAAAUCAAGUUCCAUAAUUUGCUC
Eucalyptus grandis is the source of this 397-nucleotide long non-coding RNA. RefSeq lists it as uncharacterized. The record is from RefSeq and is a predicted model, not a curated record. Lineage: Eukaryota; Viridiplantae; Streptophyta; Magnoliopsida; Myrtales; Myrtaceae. The transcript has 2 exons.